GUAGGGAGCAAGCGUUAUCCGGAUUUAUUGGGUGUAAAGGGUGCGUAGGCGGUUUAUUAGGUCUAUGGUUUAAUUCCGAAGCUUAACUUCGGUUCGCCAUAGAAACCGAUUUACUUGAGUAUGGUAGAGGCAAGUGGAAUUUCUAGUGUAGCGGUAAAAUGCGUAGAUAUUAGAAGGAACACCAGUGGCGAAGGCGACUUGCUGGGCCAUCACUGACGCUGAGGCACGAAAGCGUGGGGAGCAAAUAGGAUUAGAUACCCUAGUAGUCCACGCCGUAAACGUUGAAUACUAAGUGUCGGAAUUUCCGGUGCUGAAGUUAACACAUUAAGUAUUCCACCUGAGUAGU
This 346-nucleotide ribosomal RNA is filed under the name uncultured bacterium. RNAcentral's name for it is "bacterial SSU rRNA". It matches the Rfam family "Bacterial small subunit ribosomal RNA", at positions 527 to 881 of the family's 1533-position model. The record is from RNAcentral.